UACGGGGGGGGCAAGCGUUGUUCGGAAUUACUGGGCGUAAAGGGCUCGUAGGCGGCCAACUAAGUCAGACGUGAAAUCCCUCGGCUUAACCGGGGAACUGCGUCUGAUACUGGAUGGCUUGAGAUUGGGAGAGGGAUGCGGAAUUCCAGGUGUAGCGGUGAAAUGCGUAGAUAUCUGGAGGAACACCGGUGGCGAAGGCGGGUCUCUGGGCCUUACCUGACGCUGAGGAGCGAAAGCGUGGGGAGCGAACAGG
This 253-nucleotide ribosomal RNA is filed under the name uncultured bacterium. RNAcentral's name for it is "partial 16S ribosomal RNA". It matches the Rfam family "Bacterial small subunit ribosomal RNA", at positions 524 to 776 of the family's 1533-position model. The record is from RNAcentral.